Etheostoma spectabile (orangethroat darter) is the source of this 661-nucleotide long non-coding RNA. RefSeq lists it as uncharacterized. The record is from RefSeq and is a predicted model, not a curated record. The transcript has 3 exons. Lineage: Eukaryota; Metazoa; Chordata; Actinopteri; Perciformes; Percidae.
CCUGGAGUCUGGUCUCCAUUAAAGGACAGAAAGAAGACAUUAGUCCUGGAGUCUUGUCUCCAUUAGAGAACAGAAAGAAGACAAUAGUCCUGGCGUCUUGUCUCCAUUAGUGGACACAAGGGUGACAUUAGUCCUGGAGUCUCGUCUCCAUUAGAGGACAGAAGGGUGACAUUAGUCCUGGAGUCUGGUCUCCAUUAAAGGACAGAAAGAUGACAUUAGUCCUGGAGUCUUGUCUCCAUUAGAGAACAGAAAGAUGACAUUAAUCCUGGAGUCUUGUCUCAAUUAGAGGACAGAAAGAUGACAUUAGUCCUGGAGACUCGUCUCCAUUAGAAGACAGAAAGAAGACAAUAGUCCUGGCGUCUUGUCUCCAUUAGUGGACACAAGGGUGACAUUAGUCCUGGAGUCUCGUCUCCAUUAGAGGACAGAAGGGUGACAUUAGUCCCGGAGUCUCAUCUCCAUUAGAGGACAGAAAGAAGACAUUAGUCCUGGAGUCUUUCCGAUGUUCCUGUAUUCUCCCAGAAAGAUAAUGAACGACAGCGCAGGAUGAGCAGAGAGCAGAAAUAUUUCGGUGAAGAGCUUUAGACUUUAUUUUCUGCUUGAUAGCUUCUAGUUUCUCCAGCAGCUUCUGAUUCAGGAGGUUAAAAAGUGAUCUUCCACUAUU